RNAcentral lists this ribosomal RNA (554 nucleotides) under uncultured bacterium. Its description in RNAcentral is "bacterial SSU rRNA". It matches the Rfam family "Bacterial small subunit ribosomal RNA", at positions 77 to 647 of the family's 1533-position model. The record is from RNAcentral.
CGGCCGCGUCGACAAAUACUUAGUGGCGGACGGGUGAGUAACGCGUGAGAAUCUGCCUUCAGGACGGAGACAACAGUUGGAAACGACUGCUAAUACCGCAUAAGCCCACGGUACCGCAUGGUACAGAGGGAAAAGGAGCAAUUCGCUUUGGGAUGGACUCGCGUCCGAUUAGCUAGAUGGUGAGGUAACGGCCCACCAUGGCGACGAUCGGUAGCCGGACUGAGAGGUUGAUCGGCACAUUGGGACUGAGACACGGCCCAGACGUCCUACGGGAGCAGCAGUGGGGAAUAUUGCACAAUGGGGGAAGCCCUGGAUGCAGCGACGCCGCGUGGAGGAAGAAGGCCUUCGGGUUGUAAACUCCUGGUCGUAAGGACGGAUAGUGACGGUACCUUACAGAAAGCCACGGCUAACUACGUGCCAGCAGCCGCGGUAAUACGGUAGUCCCGAGCGUGUCGGAUUAUUGGUCGUAAGCGAGCGCAGGCGUUAGAUAAGUCGUGAAGUUAAGGCGUAGUGGCUUAACGACUAGUACGCGUUGGUAAACUGUUAACUUGUAG